This 207-nucleotide ribosomal RNA is filed under the name uncultured bacterium. Its description in RNAcentral is "partial 16S ribosomal RNA". It matches the Rfam family "Bacterial small subunit ribosomal RNA", at positions 568 to 774 of the family's 1533-position model. The record is from RNAcentral.
AGUGUAGGUGGUUUAUUAAGUCGGAUGUGAAAUCCCGGGGCUCAACCCCGGAACUGCAUUCGAUACUGGUAGACUAGAGUUCGGGAGGGGUAAGCGGAAUUCCGUGUGUAGCAGUGAAAUGCGUAGAUAUACGGAGGAACACCUGAGGCGAAGGCGGCUUACUGGACCGAUACUGACACUGAGACUCGAAAGCGUGGGUAGCAAACA